Molecule: ribosomal RNA, 779 nt
Filed under: uncultured bacterium
Lineage: Bacteria
Description: bacterial SSU rRNA
Rfam family: Bacterial small subunit ribosomal RNA
Source: RNAcentral
AGAGUUUGAUCAUGGCUCAGGACGAACGCUGGCGGCGUGCUUAACACAUGCAAGUCGAACGAGAUCCAUUCAGUAGCAAUACUGAUGAAGAUCUAGUGGCGAACGGGUGCGUAACACGUGAGGAACUUGUCCCGGUCUCUGGGAUAACAGUUGGAAACGACUGCUAAUACCGGAUGACGUCGGAACUUCGCAUGGAGUACUGACGAAAGGGUUACUGGAUCGGGAGAGCCUCGCGGCCUAUCAGCUUGUUGGUGGGGUAACGGCCUACCAAGGCAUCGACGGGUAGCUGGUCUGAGAGGAUGAUCAGCCACACUGGGACUGAGACACGGCCCAGACUCCUACGGGAGGCAGCAGUGGGGAAUCUUGCACAAUGGGCGAAAGCCUGAUGCAGCAACGCCGCGUGCGGGAAGAAGGCCCUCGGGUUGUAAACCGUUUUCAGAAGGAACGAAACUGACGGUACUUUCAGAAGAAGGUGCGGCCAACUACGUGCCAGCAGCCGCGGUGACACGUAGGCACCAAGCGUUGUCCGGAUUUAUUGGGCGUAAAGAGCUCGUAGGCGGUUCAGUAAGUCGGGUGUGAAAACUUUGGGCUUAACCCAAAGCGUGCAUCCGAUACUGCUGUGACUUGAGUUCGGUAGGGGAGUGGGGAAUUCCUAGUGUAGCGGUGAAAUGCGCAGAUAUUAGGAGGAACACCGGUGGCGAAGGCGCCACUCUGGGCCGAAACUGACGCUGAGGAGCGAAAGCAUGGGUAGCAAACAGGAUUAGAUACCCUAGUAGUCC